This 16332-nucleotide long non-coding RNA is filed under the name Vitis vinifera (wine grape). RNAcentral's name for it is "long non-coding RNA (VVIN_LNC004416)". Lineage: Eukaryota; Viridiplantae; Streptophyta; Magnoliopsida; Vitales; Vitaceae. The record is from RNAcentral.
UGCCACACUGUAAGAUUUUGAUUCCUAUUUUCAAGAACAAAGUUACCAGUAUCAAGCAUGGCAGCAUGAGUGACCGCGGUUACAGAGUUCUGAGGUCUCCAUAUCUCUUUGCCUUGUGGAUCACUUAGUAUGAACUGGCCAUCAGAGGUAAGUUCAAGUUUGGAUCCUUUAGGAGCCGGGUUAUCUCCAUUUGCAUACCAAACUAAGGUUUUUUCCGGUAUGUUUUCGAACCAGAUAGCAAGCAAGAAGAGACUUUGACUGCCAAGGCGGUAAAACCCAAAGGCAAAUUCACCAGAAGGUGAUACACAUCUAGGCGAGUCCUGGGAGGCUGUAAUGUCAAGAUCAGUGCAAUAUUGAGACAACACUAAAGAUGGAAGGACAAGAAGAAGAAAGAACCUGGCAGCCAUUGCAGAAGAGCCUUGGUACUACCCUUCACACCGGAGAAAGUUUGUAGAACAUAUAAAAGUAUUCACAUGGGAUUGUGAGACUGGAAAAAAUAGCAUGCACAAGGUCAAUGCGGUCGGAUUGGGUGAGCGGUGGAAUCAAUUUCGUGAGUGAAACAUCUUCCUAAUUCACUUUAAAGGUCAUUGCUGACACGUUUUCCAAGCUUUGAAUCUUUGAAAAACUAGUUAUGGCCAACCACAUAUGUGUGGCUUAUCUUCUUCCACUUCAUAGGGUAUAGGAUAUGGCUUACCCCCACAUGCAUUAGGUAUUUAGUGUGCAUCUUCCAAUAGUACAUCAUUGGAAAGCGACUAAUUCAUUGUCUAAUAUGCACAUCCAUUUUUAGGGCCUAGGUCCUCAUUUGUGGUUGAAACGAUCUAUUCUCAAUCAGCCAAGACUUUUGCAUGCUUACAAAUUUGAUUUCACUUAUUCAAGGUAUGAAAGGGAUUUUAUCGGUCAAUUCUUACAUUGCAGAAUUGUUGAAAUUGUCUUAUUACAGCCACCAAGAAGCUAAAUUAUGUGUCUAAUCUCAUGGUUAUAGUCCGGGGUUCUACUAACUUGUGAACUGGUAUCUAUUGAUUCUAAUUGUCCGUUACCAUUUUCUAAGACUUUUGAUACAAGUUGGAUGAGCUCAAUUGCACCUCAAUCAGCCUCUGUUAAGAUUCCACAGUUAUAUAGUUGGUUUGAAUUUUUCUAAAAAUGGUUUUAAGAAAAUUACCUAUCAAACGUUUCUCCAAAAAAUAUUAUAAGUAAUUUUUCAAUAUUAAAAGUGAUUUUUCAUAUUUUUAACAAUAUUUCGUAAAUUUUGUCAAAUGUUUUUUUUUUUCAUAAAUACUUUAAAAAUAGAAAUAUUUCUUAAAAUUAUUGUCAAAUAUUAAAACUAUCAAAACAUAUGAUUUGAAAAUCAUAAUAAAUAUUAUGUGAAUAAUUCAAGUGGUCAUCUAUUUUCUUUUUUGUUCUUUUAUUUUUUGUAACCCGGAGUGUUGGGUUAAAGUUGAUAUGAACACCAAAGGCCUCAUUUUUGGAAUUUAAUUAACACAAAAUUCUUUUUCAAGUUGAUAAUUAUAUAAAUAAUCUUAUGGAGUCCAUUAUUGAAUUUUAUUGAGAGUGUGUGGCCAAAAGCCAAAAGGAUGAUGUCUACCGUUCUUUCUUUUCCAUUUUCAUUUAUUGAAAUUUUAUUCCCCCGAUGAACUUGACAACCAUCUUAAAAUAAUUAUUGGAAGCUAUUAACUUUAAAUAAUAAGGAUCAUGUUCAAUAAUUAACAUUUUUUUGAAAAAAAAAGUAAUCAUUGACUUAGAGCUCGAAUGACAGUGACGGUAAAAAACGUUUUUAACCUAAAAAGUUUUUUUGAAAGAAAAAAAAAAAUAGGUAUUAGUAAAAUUUAAUAAACGCUUUUUAAAAAUUUGAAAAAUCAUUGAUAGUAUUAAAAAAUCACUUAUAGUGUUUUUAGAGAAAUGUUUUAUAGAUGAUUUUCUUAAAAACACUUUAUGAGAAAAUACUUUCAGAGAAAAUAUUUUCAUUAAAAAUACUUUAAAUAAAAAUAUUAUCAAAUGUACUCUUAAAUAUUUUAUUAUGAAAUUUAUUAUUCUAAUUAAUUUUAUAUAUAAUGACAUGAACAAAAAAUAUCAUAUCAUGAAAAAUUUGUGUUUUCUUUAGUAGUGAUAUUAUUUUUUGGAGAAUAAUAUUUGAAGGUGUGGAAAAAAGAUUGGUGAAAAAGCGAAAAAUCCUUUUAAUCUUACAUCCUAGUUGUGUUCAAAUAUAAGAGUUGGGAUCACCAAAUUCAUUAAUAUUCAAGAAGAAGUAAGAAUGAAAAUUAAAUAUUCAUCUUCAUUCCUAAUUUUUACAUAGCAAAUAUGGCCUUCUAAUGUUACAUUGAACAGUGAGAUGUUUCUUGCACCAUUAAAAAAAUCAGCCUUGGAAAACAGACGUCAAAUUUCUUGCACCUGACAUUGACAUGGACUCAAACUAUCUAAAACUAACCUAAAUUCAUGGAGAUGAAUGGCCAAUCAAGUGAAGCACUUGCCUGCGUGAUGUCUGGUCAGUCAUCUUGAAAUGAGAAUUAUAUAGUCAGAUAAAUAAUAAAACACAUAACCUAAUAUUCUAUUCAUUGAUUCGCUCAUUCACUAAUCAUUAGAAAGUCGGGAAAUAUAGAAGAGCAAAUUUUCUAAUUCAAGGAGAUGCUGAAGAGGCUCAGAAUCAUAAUUUCUAUACAAAAUCAGGAAGUUCAAUGAGGGAAUUGCACUCAACCCUUUAAGAUAAGAAUAUGGAAAUGGAAAACAAAGCUUCAAAAAGUCUUAGGUUAUGUUUGGUUUCUGAAAAAUAUUAAGGAAAGAAAAAAAAUACAAAUGAAAAUGAAUUUUUCAUAUUUGGUUGUCCUAUGAAAAAUAUAAAAGAAAAUCAAAUAUAAUUAAAACUAAUUAAAAAUAUAUGUAUUUUUAAAUUUUUUAAUCUUUAUAUUGAUGAGUUAAAAUAAAUAAAAUGAGUUUGAAGUAAUAAAAAAAAUAAUUUAUCGAUUUUUAAUCUAUUUUUUAUUUUCCCUCACUUUUUCUUUCCUUCUACUUUUCCUUUGUAUUUUCUUUCCCUUGCAUUUUCCCUCAAAUUUUCUGGGAACCAAACAUAGCCUUAAAGUCUAGAUCAAUUUAAUUACAAUAUUCUUCUUCGGAGUUUCACAGUACAAACCUUCAUUAAGACUUGGGACUCUUUAAUUUUCUUUUCAAAGAAAGAGAUGACUUGGAUAAACAAUGAGAACCAAUGCCCAUGGUCACUUACAGAAGUUUAUGCAUGACGAUGACAAUUCUACUAAUGAGAAGCAAGCACAAGAAGACUGCCACCUCCAAGGUCCAUGCCAAUGACCUCAAUGAUCAUCCGCAGGGCAACAAAAAAAUAAACAGAAAUUCCAAAAUAAGAACAAGACCACGUCAAAAUUGUGACAAAAACAAAUUCAGCAACUACCUGACAAAGAUUUGUCUUUCUACUUGCCUUUUGUUAUAAGGACUCCCGAAAAACUUAGGCUGCUAAACCAAAAGUGUGUUUAAACAAAUAAAAAUUUGACCAAUUCAGUACCAUAAAAUACUUAUAUAAAAUUGUUGGUUUAGGAAUGGCAACUUUCUAAAUGAUCCUAGAUCUAAAUAUACAUUGGCAUAAAAUUGCAGUUGUUUACCUCACAUGUUUUUUUAUUGUCAUAAUAGAACUUUGUUCCUUAGAAGAAGGCUUCUAUGCUUAUCCUGGUUACUUAACAUGGAACAUGUGCAAAUAGAGUUUGUUGCCUGCCCAAAUCUUCCACAACCGGACCAGCCAAUGACUUGUGUGCAUGUACAGUUCUUCAAGAGUGUUGAGCAGAUUAAAAGCCUUUGAAUGCAAAAAGGAGGUCAAGACAUUAACAAUGUAGAAUAUUUAAGUAAUUCUGGUAUCAAACAUAAUAAAAUUGAUUAAACAAAACCUUGAACAAUGAGGUAUUUUCUUCCAAAAAAGAUGAGCUCCACCAUUGUGUGGGCUAUUGAGAAUAUGAAAAAUAAGACAUUAGAAUGAUAAGCAAUUAAAAUUACCUACUAAUGAGCAGCAAACUAGAAUGUUGAAUUUUGACUUAGUAUUUGCUGGAAUUUGAAUUUUGAAUAUUGCAGCUGGAGUCUUGCACAAAAUCUGCAACAUCUAGAUAUUUUCUUAUUUUUAUUUGGUCAAGAUUUGGUUUCUAUUUUAUAGGAAGUAGUUAUUCAUCAUCUAGUAGCUUGAUUUUCUGCUAUUCUAAUGUCAUUUAAGUUACAAGUUCAUGUAUAAAUUCAGCACUCUUCAUCAAUAAAAUCAGAGUUCCAGCAGCCCAAAAAUAUAUUUUUUGUAUAAGUAUUUAAUCUUAUACCAACAAAGUGGUAUCAGAGCCAUAGUUAUCUUGAGGGGCCAGUGAGGUGAGAACCCAAACACCUUCUAAAAUCAUAUAGCAAUGGAAGAGUCAAGUCUCACAGUUGCACCAUCAAUUCUUGAUGGAGACAAUUAUGAAACUUGGGCUGUUAGAAUGACAGUUCAUCUACAAGCACUUGAUGUUUGGGAAGCAGUUGAAGAAAAUUAUGAAGUUCCUCCCCUGGGAGCCAAUCCAACUGUGGCUCAAAUGAAGUUGCAUAAAGAAAGAAGGACAAGAAAGGCUAAAGCGAAAGCUUGCUUGUUUGCUGCAGUUUCACCAUCAAUUUUCAUCAAAAUCAUGAAAAUUGAUUCAGCUGUAGAAAUUUGGGAGUAUCUCAAGGAGGAAUACAAAGGAAAUGAAAGAAUCAAGAACAUGCAGGUGAUGAACUUGAUUCGAGAAUUUGAAAUGAAGAAAAUGAGGGAGUCUGAUGCUGUUAAAGACUAUGCUGCACAACUUCUUUCAAUAGCAGACAAAGUUAGGCUGCUUGGAAAAGAAUUUUCCAAUGAGAAGAUUGUUCAAAAGAUAUUGGUUACACUUCCUGAGAAAUAUGAAGCUACAAUUUCCUCUUUGGAGAAUUCAAAAGAUCUGUCAACUAUUAGCUUGACAGAAUUAUUACAUUCCUUGGAGGCUGUGGAACAAAGAAGACUCAUGAGACAAGGAGAUACUACAGAAGGAGCAUUUCAAGCAAGAAUGCAGAAAAAUGCAGGCCAUAAAAAUGGAAAGAUGAACAACAACAAGCCAUGCAGCAACAACCAGAAAAAUGGAGUUUUUCCACCUUGUCCUCAUUGCAAGAAGACAAAUCAUUCUCCACAAAAAUGUUGGUGGAGACCAGAUGUGAAAUGCAACAAGUGUGGUAAACAAGGACAUGUGGAGAGGAUUUGCAAAAAUCAACAACAGGAAGAAACUAGUGCAGCAGUUGACUAUUGCCAGGAGGAGCAAUUGUUUGCAGCAACGUGUUUUGCUAAUAAAAGCACCUCUGAAAGCUGGCUUGUGGAUAGUGGUUGUACAAAUCACAUGACAAAUAAUCAAGAUCUCUUUAGAGAACUUGAUAGAACAACUAUUUCCAAAGUCAGAAUUGGAAAUGGUGAGUAUAUUCCAGUGAAGGGCAAAGGAACGGUUGCUAUCGAAAGCCAAACAGGUUUGAAACUCAUUUAUGAUGUUUUGUUUGUGCCUGACAUUGACCAAAACUUACUCAGUGUUGGACAGCUCGUUGAGAAAGAAUUUAAAGUUUAUUUUGAAGAUAGGAAUUGCAUUAUCAAGGAUGCUGAAGGCAAAGAGGUGUUCAACAUAAAAAUGAAGGGCAAAAGUUUUGCCUUGAAUUUACUGGAAGAUGAGCAUACUGCUAUUUUACAACAAGAUAGCACAACAAUGUUUUGGGACAGAAGGGUCGAGCACUUUCAUCAUGAUGAUGUGCUCUACAUGAAGAAAAAUCAAAUAGUUGAAGGACUUCCUGACUUAGAAAAAGAUCUUCCUAUAUGUGCUACUUGUCAAUAUGGGAAGCAAACUAAACUUCCCUUUCCAAAGAAAAUAUCCUGGAGAGCAACCCAAAAACUGCAACUGGUGCAUACUGAUGUUGGUGGAUCUCAAAAAAUGCCAUCCUUGAAAUGGAAUGCAAACAAUGUUUGGUGGAUCUCAAAAAAUGUCAUCCUUGAAAUGGAAUGCAAACAAUUUUGGGCUAAAACUGCAAGUAGAGCAGUAUAUUUUCUGAACAUAUUGCCAACAAAAGUGUUAAAGAAGCAGACCCCUUUCGAAGUUUGGUUUGAGUGUCUACGUGCAAGACUUGGAGUUUGCAUCUACGAAGUCAAGGAGGAGUGUUGAAUUUUGACUUAGUAUUUGCUGGAAUUUGAAUUUUGAAUAUUGCAGCUGGAGUCUUGCACAAAAUCUGCAACAUCUAGAUAUUUUCUUAUUUUUAUUUGGUCAAGAUUUGGUUUCUAUUUUAUAGGAAGUAGUUAUUCAUCAUCUAGUAGCUUGAUUUUCUGCUAUUCUAAUGUCAUUUAAGUUACAAGUUCAUGUAUAAAUUCAGCACUCUUCAUCAAUAAAAUCAGAGUUCCAGCAGCCCAAAAAUAUAUUUUUUGUAUAAGUAUUUAAUCUUAUACCAACAUAGAAUACAUCCAUGGUUUCCUCCAUGCCUGUAUAAGAGAAAUGACAAAGAAAGUGAGGAAGAACCAAAGCAUCCAUGUUUUUCCAGUCAUUAAGCGGUUCACUUGGGUUAUGCAUAUGGCCAAAUAAAAAACAGGGCAUGAAUAUGUGAGUGCCGUUAGAAUAUGAGAAUUGUCUGUGUCAAAAUGCGAGCACCUAGGUUGAAUCCUCAUCUACAGCUAUUCAAAAUUCGUCUCAGGCUUGAAGCUUCAAGAAGAAGAAAAUCUUAAAUCAAAUAAAUGGAGCCAAGGAAUUAUGUAGAUAUAUUCUUGAGAUUAGAAAUUGGAACAUAACUUUUCUAAAGAACUAAGUUUAAGCACAGAACAAUUACCUGCCGAUAUGUUGGUGCAGUGCCACUUUCAUUAAAAUAGCACAUCAUUGAUCUCUAUUUUUGGAAUGUGAGAUAUAUAACGCCAUUCUUGCCCUUUCUCAAAUUGGUGCCGUUGUUCUAGUGAAGGACAUUUGUAGACAUACAGAUAAGAGAGAGGGAGUCUGGCAGUGUCAACUACUGGAGCUUAGGGCAGUUGGCGAUAUACAAGGUUUCAAGAGUGGUAAGGUGGUGAAGACCUGCUUCUGUUAAGGAUUGGAGCCUUGGGCACAAGUAUAAUAUUUUGAGAGAAAUAUGGUGUUGACGAACGGACCCCUAUGGAGAACUGGAGCUCAGUGCAAUUCCUGAUCUCUAAUUGUAGAAGAGAGGUGAGUCGUUGAAGCCCCCUGCUGUAAAGAGACUUGAGAUUUGGAAGAUCUGAGAUUGAAAUAUAAGUCAGAGAAGAGGGCAGCAGGCACUCCUUGGGAAAUAAUUCCACGUCUUCACAUCCACCUUUGAUUGUUAAUUUAGUAAGAGAGGUCAAUCUUUGCAAAUCCCAAUCCACCUGGGAUGUGAGUUGGUUGCAGCGACAAACUUCUAGUUCACGUAGGUUGGAAGGCAAACCUUCUCUGUGAAACAAAAAUUCUGAGCAAUCCCUUAAAAUCAGUUUCCGCAGAGAUGAGUGUGUGUGGACCAGCAAUCUGAGCUUGGAGCAACUGGAAAUCUCGUGGUCCAUUGAGUCCAGAGCAGGCAGUUGGAUAUAUACAAGAUUAUGGCACCCUCUGAUUUCCAAAUUAAGAAGAGAUAUGGGAUCGCCCUCUGAAAUCGAAAUGCAGAGCUUCUCAAGUCCCUAAGACCAUGGAUUGCGAAAUUAGUCAACCUGGGGGAGAUGUCCAAUAUUGAGAAGGAUAAUGGGGGAGAAUUAUUGUAGGUACCACCAUUGAUUGAUAGAUUUUCAAGUACAGGGUGAUGGCAUCUGAACAACUCUGGUAGAAUAAGGUCCACUUUGGUACAGUAAGAGAUUGAUAGUGAUUGCAACAUAGUGGGUAAACCAACUUUGCUCGGGGAUCUGAAAAAGAGCAGUCACAAAUUUUUAAACUGUGGAUGUUGGUUUGCAGGAUUUCCUCCUCUAGCAGAGACUCCAUAGAAUCACACUUUGUGGAUGUUGCUUCCAUUGAGAGACGUCUGAAAUUUCAAUUUCUGAAGUUUGAAGAGCUGUGAACCCACAAGUUUGCCUUUUCAACUGCAAUCUACGGGCAGCAGGAACAUUGAGUGUAGGCACAAGCAGUUGCGGACAUAUUUCAAGGUUAAGUUCCUGCAAUGAAGGAAGGUGUAUUGGUAAUUCCCCAAUGAGUAUAGGACAUUGCCUUAUAGAAAGCUCCUGGAGACGAGGGAAUUCUCCACGUAUGCCUCCACGACAUAACCAUUUCUCCCAAUUGGACAUUACAAAAUGAUAUAGUUUACAGGGAUGGGAAGGAGGGCUGAAGUGAAAAAGAGGAGUUCCCAUAAAACUCACCACCCACCCUGACUACUCCUUUCAUGUCUGAGAUCUCUAGAAGUUUAAGACAAGGUAGCUGCCCCAGUGGCGGCAAUGUUGAGCAAUUGCCACAACCCCAAAGCUUAAGGGACCCAAGAUUCAAGAAUGAAGGAUCUCCAAGCCAAUAUGGAAAUGUUACACCAGGAUACUUUAUGAUGGAGAGUUAUUUUAAAUUUGGAUGAGGUUGUAACCAGCUAAGAAUAUUGUCUAUUACACCAUUAAUUUGUAUAACAUCACUAAUAAUCAUGUCCUUCCAAUUCAGGGAUAACUCAUCCAGGUAUCUCUUAUCCUUCAUAUGUCCUUGCAAUGCAUCCUCAACGCGCACUACAUUCUCCAUUUUUGAAGUUUUAAGUAUUCCCUGAAUCUCCGGAAACUCUCUCAAUCCAUCCUCCAAUUCCAUAUCCACUUUUUUGGCCCACAAUAACAUAAGGCAACUGUUGUAAACUUUUUAAUUGAUCUAAUCAAUUUCCCCAUUUUUGAAGGCAAUUCAAGAAGAAUGUGACAUCUACUCAAUAUCAUCGAUCGUAUGUAAAUUGUACAAAUAACAUAUUGAUUUAGGUAAUUUUUCAAUCAUCAUAAAAGAGAGAUCCAAGUAACACUACUGUUUUAAAUUGUGUAUUGAAUCAAGCACAUCUGUUAUGUUGUAUGCACACAAUGAUAACACACGCAAGGAUUUAAAUUUUGGUAAUAUAUUUUGUAAAACUCUUUUACUCCAUGUAUAAUAAGGAAUACGUGUAAAUCUCUUCACGUCUAAGAAUGUCCAGAGAUGUUUAGCUUCACCAAUAGCCUCAAACUUAUCACGUACAACCAUCCAGUCGUAGCCACUUUAAAAGUAAAGAAAAUGACGAGCCUUAUCAGUUAUUUUUUGCACCUUAUAAUCUUCCAAUUGAACACAAAAUUCGCUGGAGAUAUGUUGAGACAAGUCAUGUAUUAUAUCAUGCAUUACAAAGCAUGAUUUUAUGGUAAAUGAUUCCUUUGUAAUAGAUUGUUGAAAAAAUGACUUUGCUAGAAGCUCAUUAAAACAUGACUCACCUACCUCUUCCAGUCUUUCUUCACUUUGUCCCGCAUGUAAAAGCCCUUCUGCCAUCCAUAAUAGAAUCAGCUUCUCUUUUUCUUGUUACCUACUCUCUCUUUGAGUUUAAGCUGAAACAAAUUUAGGGUGUCAUCAGAUUUAGUUUCAGAACUGAUUUCCUUGAGAAUUGAUUUUGUUACCUCCUCGAUGAGAAAAAUCUCAGUGGAAACACAGACCCAUGCUUUCAAGUGGAAGUGUUGUUUGACCGUGUCAUGGUUAUAGAGAAGCUGAGCGAGUGUGGUCUUGCCGCUGCCGCCCAUGCCCACCAUGGACAUCACAUCUAUGACGUUGUUGCCUGUUGCAUUUUCCUUUUCAGAAAGCAACCACUUCACCAUCUCCUCCUUGAUUCCAUCCCUGCCCACCACAGAGGACUCAUCCACCAAAGAAGUGGUUGGUGGUCUUGGUGACAGUUUAUCGCCUUCACCUUCUUUCAGCCAAAGCUCAACUUUUUCUUGUGCAAUGUUUUCAAGUACGGUAAUCAAGCCCUUGACCCUGGGCUCCAUUCUUUGAGUAGCAAAUGGAGCCUUAACCCUGGUGGAGAACUUGUUCCACACCUGAUAAAUUCCGCCAGUUUGGGGGUGUUCAGCAGCUUCGAUCUGGCACCGCAAAGUUUUGGUAGCGAUCUCGUCCAACAGGUCCUCCGCAUGAUACACAGCAUCCUUAACUUGGACUAGCCAGUCUUUGACAAGUGGAUCUGAAAAUUGCUUCAUCUCCGCAUCAUUGAGCGCUUUGUGGACAACCAGCAAUUUCCUCUUAAAGUUGGUGAGGAGUUCAUGGCUGAGCUUUUGUGCCCGGAUGAAGUUGAUGAGGUCCGGAGAAGCCAACCUGUCGAGUAGAACUUGAAGUGAAGCCAAGAGGAGUGCGUCCGCCAUUGCAAAAGGAAUUCAGCGAGAUUCAAUACAGGAAAAAUGAAGGUAAGCAGAAUUAAUGCAGAAUCACAGCAACAAACUGCAAAGCAAAGACUGGUCUCUAUUGCCAAAAUGCAUGAGGCUUGAAGGAAUCAUUGAUGGUGGUGGACCAAAUGCUGACUUUUUUGCCAAAACCAAUAAUUGAGAGGUGAGUAAAAGAAAGCAAAGGAAAAAGGCUGAUGACAGACUCUGUUGAGUAACGUGGGUGGAGCUUUCCAAAAAUGGAAAGCAAAAGCCACCGGGUUGUUCUUUGGUACCCAUCAUUUAUUUUGGGUUGCCAACCCACAUUUGAACCACUAAUAAAUGCAAGUGUAAAGUGUAAUAUUAUAAUUUAUUAUUAAAUAUCAAAUAUAAUUUGUUAUUUAAUUAAUUAAGCACCUAACAAUUAUCUAAAAUAAGAAAAUUUUAUCAACUACUCUUGUACUCUUGGUAUGCAAAUAUAGAAAAAGAAAUAUUAAUUUAAUAUGAAAAUUAAAUAGCUUCAACCAACGUAUUUGUGAUAAAUCAAAUUUAAAGAUUAAGUAUAAGAUUUCUUAAGGAAGAAAAACAAAAAUUUGUAUUUCAUAAAGGAAAUAAAAUAUUUCAAGUGAUUACAUUUAUUAAAGGUAAUAUUUGAUAUUUUUUUAUUUAAAUAUAAAUUUUGCCAGUAAAAAUGUAGCAUUUUAAUAUGUAAUGAUUUACAAGAUUUAGGUUUUAGAACUUUUUUUUUUAUGAGUUUAUUAUUAAUCAAAUUGAAAUAAUUUAGUCCUUUGUUAUCAAAUUGUUUUCAAUAUGUGAGAAAAGUUACAAACAACGUAAGAGAAAGUAUGAAUAAUAUAAGAGAAGGUAUGAAUAAUGCAAGAAAUUGUACGAAUAAUGUAAGAUAGGGUAUGAUGGAUGGUAUGAACAAUGCAAAAAAUGAUACAAGUAAUGUAAAACAAGGUAUGAACAAUAUGAGAAAUGGUAUGAAUAAGAAGCCUCUUCUCAUUAUUAUUGUUGAAGACAAAGCAAUGUGUAAAUAGAAAUUGAUGAAUAUAUUGCAAAUGUGGUGGGUAAGGAGCACUGAGUAGACCAUACUGCUUUAAAUUUCAUCACAAAAGUGUUGGGUUUGCAUACAAAUAAAUUUAUGAUCUAAAAUAUAAACAUAAAAUAGUUAACAACAUUAAUUAUGUAAUAAAAUUAAUACGAAGUUGGUUUAUCCUUAUAUUCAUUUCUACAUUUAGUAAUUCUUGUCUAAGUCCUAAAGUCAUGAAGUCUUCUCGAUUUGCAUGCUUAUAUUGAACAUUAACAAGAACUACAAAAUAUAAGUAUUUAAUAAGCAUCACUUUUAAAACAUGACGUGGAUAAAGUAUAUCCAAAAUAAUUAGUUUAUACAUUUUUGGCCCAAUGAAACAUCAAAUGAAUGUGGAUCCUCCACAUUUAACAAAAUGCACAUGAUAUUAGUCAUUCAAUAAAGGAAUUCUUAAAAAAAAAAUUAAAAAUUAAAAAUUAAAAAUUAAAAAUUAAAAAUUAAAAAUUAAAAAUAAAUAAAUAAAAAGGCUAAAAGAUGGUCAAACCCGUAGAUAAAGAGAGAGUUGUCCUUGAUUUUAUCCUAUAUUCUGUCCUACAUAUUGUUUGGAUGCCAACUAAAAAAAUGAAGAAAAAACAGAUAAUUUAAUGAAAAGUUAUUAAAUAAUUUAAGAAGGAAAAAGAAAAUAAAGGAGAGUUAAAAAAAACAUGAAUAGUUUAAUGGAUUUCAAAUUUUAUUUUAUUUUAUUUUUCCAUUUUUACACAUCUCUUUGUAAUAUAUUCAAUAUUCUAUAUGAUAUUUAUAAAGAAGAUAAUCAAAUAUCAUUGAAACAUGGGUACCUUUUUUCAACAAAUGCAUCACUAAUUACAUAUAUUUUAAUGAAAAUAUUGACAAUGUUUCGAUAUUUUCACUAUUUUCCAAAAUCAUAAUAAACAAAUAUAGUUGUACACAGAAAUUUCAUAAAUUUUAUCCUGCGAAAUUAGCAAAAUAAAAUAGGAAAAAUAGUGUGAACAAAUGAUUUAUUAAAUUCAAGAAUAUCGCAGGUACAAUUUCAAAAUAAUAAUAAUAAUAUUUUUUCUAACAAAGAAUAUUUUCCCUUUAAUUCUUUUGCCUUGAUUGCACUUUGGAAGACAACGAUGACGUUUUCUUGAUUUCAAAGAUCAAUCGAGGGCCACAAGUGGCUUAUUCCCGAAUGACCUUGUUGAAUGACAAAGAACGAGUGUAUUAGUUCUUUUGUCGCUUACCGAACUUAUAGGGAGUUUUUAUUUGAUUUCUGAAUUUUCUUCCCUCUCCUCUCCUUGAUGGAAGACAUCUUUAUUUAUAGGUGAAGAUAGGGAAUUUGAAUUUCAAAAUCCCCAAUUUUAGUUGCUUAAUUCAAGGGAUUUAGUUCCUUAAUUUUAGCAAAUUUUCUUUUCCGGGAGGUUUUACCAACAAGAUAAUAAGACUUAUCCUUUUUUUUAGAAGACCAAAUUAAUGGUAAUUUAUUUAUGUCUACAAUAGUUUAAAAAUUUUCUUAUAUAUAGAACUCCACCCUAUUCUUGUCUACUUUCCCUUCAUCCGACGGUUCAUCUGUGUAUGAAAAAUUUGUUUUUUAAAAUCUAUUGGAAGUGUCUCAACUUUUUAAUUGGAAUAUAUAAUUUUUUUUAAUAAAAAAUUAUUAUAUAAAUAUUUUCUAAAUUCAUAUAGUAUUGUAAUUAGAUUUUUUAUAGAAUAAAGAAAGGGAAUAGAUUACCUAGUGAGAUCUACAUACAAUUUAAUAAUUAAUUAGUUAACUAAUAUUAGAUUAACUCGGACUCAAAUUAUUUGGCCAGCAGAGUCAUGGGAGCCUUAAAAGAGAAGCUAAGAGCAAAGGGGAUGCAUACAACAAAACCAAAACUAUGGUAUUCCCUUCAAGGAUCUCAUGUCCACUAUCAUUACUCUAAAAAGCAUUGAAAUUUUGGAGAUCAGGAGAGGAUUCAAGCAAUUGGCAAAGCAGUUUCCCAUAUGAAGUUGGUAAUUAUGAGCAAGAGAAAUUUUCCAAUGGAAGAAGAAUUGGACUGGAAGUAAGUAUUUGAAGUAACAUCAUGGCAAAGUUGUUGGUAAUUGGUAACUGUGGGGCUGAGUGAAACAUUAGAUUAAAUUCUGACCUCUUAUUUCGUCUACAAGAAACCUUGAGCUAACUAGUAGAUGGGUUUAAUUGCAUGGUCCAAACUAAGAUUAAAAUAAGAAUGCAAGCUCCGUGUCCACAAUACGCUUUCUAACUGCCGAUAUACGAAACCAUCAGGUGGUUUUCUAUGUUUUGAAUCUUCCAAAACCUUGAAAGACUUUUGGUGAAGUUGCCAAAAGUUCUAUAUAGAUAGAGUUCACAGCUGGUUUUGAAUUUUCUAAACACCUAGAAAAUACACUUUUUGCAGAAAGUGCUUGCCAAUUUUCCAAUACCUGUAAAGGUGAGAAUAUGAUGUUUACCUGCCACCUUGAAAUUUAUAACCAUAGUGUAGCAACCUUGUUUGUACUAUUAGAACAAGAAAAUGCAACCAUACUAACAAAGAAAACACUAUUAGAACAAACAUGGAUAUUCAACUGAAGUUCAUGAUAUAUGGAACUUCCAGGAUUGCAAAGACGAGUAGGUGCGUAUAUACUGUCUUAGGGAUGUGUAGUUUCAGAAGGUUGAACUAAAGGGGAAAGGACUACGGGGCACAGCAACUUCAACAACUCCUUGAAGCAUCAAUAUGACCAUUCCCAUGGAGGGCCUCAAAGAAGGGUCCUCUUGAAUGCACCAAAUGGCAACCAUCACUACCCUCUCUAGCAUCCCCAUGUCUUUUCCUGCUUCAUCAUCAUUCUUCACUAGCUUAUCCAAUCUGUGCCCUCUAUAGCAAUCAUAAGCCCAGUCAGCAAGUAUUGCUUCCUCCUCAUUUUCCGGCUGUGAAUGUACGCUCUUCCUGCAACUGAUGAUCUCCAGUAACAUAACCCCAUAACUAUAAACAUCCACUUUCGCCGUAAUCGGCUUGCUCCUGAACCAUUCUGGUGCAACGUAUCCUUUGGUCCCUCUGAUUGUUGUAAGGGUCCGAGUAUGAUCUCUCAUCAGAAGCUUCGCUAGUCCGAAGUCUGAAAUCCUAGGUGUAAGGUACUCGUCAAGGAGGAUGUUUUCAGGCUUUAUAUCACAAUGGAUGAUGGGGGUGCUGCACUCUUCGUGUAAAUACAUUAGCCCUUUUGCAAUCCCAAAGGCUAUCUGGAGUCUCUGGCUCCAUUCAGGUGUAGAUAUUCCAAACAAGAAGUCUGCUAAAGAUCCAUUGUUCAUGUGCUCGUAUACCAGAAGCCGGUGCACACCCUGAUCACAGUAUCCAAGCAAACUGACUAAAUUCCUAUGGUGGGUCCGCCCAAUCACAGUGACUUCUGUUUUGAAUUCCUUCUCGCCUUCCUGUACCACCUUAUCUAACUUCUUGACUGCCACAAAUCUCCCAGCAUCUGAUGCCAAAACCCCUUUAUAAACUGUUCCAAAAGCUCCCCUGCCCAAUUUCUCCUUGAAUCCACCGGUUGCCUCUUCAAGCUCUUUGUAUGAAUAAGUUCUCACACUGGUGGUCGGGAAUUUGCUUGAAACGGACUGGAUAUUCAUCAGUUUCUUGUUGUAGAAGAAGAGAGCAGCCGCAGGGAUUGCUAACAACAGAAAGAGAUUAAAGAACACAGAGCUGCCAAGGAGUACUGACCCAACAAGGAUCAAGGUAGACUUGUCUGGGCAUCUCUCUAUAGUAUCAUUUUUAAUCCGUACCUUGAUGAGAGCAGUUGAGUACUCGAAGACAUUUUGUGUAGGUUCGUGUCUUCCAUUUGAGAGAGGAAACUUCUUCUUCCAACACUGAUUGUUAGUGUUAUAGAUAGCAACCACACAGAGGCAAUCAUCUUUGCAAGACUGUUUACACUUCUCCUUGUUGAAUUCAGGUCCCUUCUGAAGCUGAUAAUCAGAUAAUGGCCAGUUGACACCUUUUAAUUCACUGAAAUCUACUGCAUCCUUGUUUGCUUUCCAUCCAUCAACAGCUGUUUGGCAGCUGGGCAAUUCAAAAUUCGGUUUACAGCCUUGUUUUCUGUCAAGAGGAUCCAAAUGAGAGUACCCAUCUGGGCAUAGACAAUCAGGCAUCCCCCUUCCAUCAAUGGAACAAUAGCUGUUGAACCCACAAAUUCCACUGCCAAGAUUACUUGGGGUCACGGUACAAAUGUUAUCGGGAAUGUUUUUCACAACAGACCAAGAAGUACUGCUGUUGUCACGAUUAUAUAGCCUGAAAACUCCGUCCUGGUCAAGCGUUGCCCGGUAAUAGUAAUCUCCCGUCAAGCUACUUCCGGAGGCGAUGUUAACAGUACCUCCAUUCCUUAGAAGAACAUAGAUGCUACCUGACUCAUCAAAAAUCACCCGUUGGCCAGAAUUGCUGCUAUUUGCAGUAUCAUUGGUGUUGCUUGAAUAAUAAACAUCAUAUGCUUUACCAGAUUCUGGGUCCAAGGUAUUAAGUACGAGAUUGCCUCCAGCUUCCAUUUGAAGCUGGAACCUCCCCUUUGAGUAGCUGCUGUUUGACUGCUGAGAAUACAUGGUGCCACCGAUUUCCAGUGUUUGAGUUGGCAAGAUGGUGUUGGCUGGAUUCUGGAAGCUCUGCCACACUGUAAGAUUUUGAUUCCUAUUUUCAAGAACGAAGUUACCAGUAUCAAGCAUGGCAGCAUGAGUGACCGCGGUAACAGAGUUCUGAGGUCUCCAUAUCUCUUUGCCUUGUGGAUCACUUAGUAUGAACUGGCCAUCAGAGGUAAGUUCAAGUUUGGAUCCUUUAGGAGCCGGGUUAUCUCCAUUUGCAUACCAAACUAAGGUUUUUUCUGGUAUUUUUUCGAACCAGAUAGCAAGCAAGAAGAGACUUUGACUGCCAAGGCGGUAAAACCCAAACGCAAAUUCACCAGAAGGUGAUACACAUCUAGGCGAGUCGUUGGAGGCGGUAAUGUCAAGAUCAGUGCAAUAUUGAGAAAAAACUAAAGAUGGAAGGACAAGAAGAAGCAAGAACCUGGCAGCCAUUGCAGAAGAGCCUUGGUACUACCCUUC